This 24-nucleotide non-coding RNA is filed under the name Cricetulus griseus (Chinese hamster). The record is from RNAcentral. Lineage: Eukaryota; Metazoa; Chordata; Mammalia; Rodentia; Cricetidae.
AGAUUCAUUUAACUCUGUCCUUCU